UGCGACCCCAGGUCAAGCGGGACUAC
RNAcentral lists this ribosomal RNA (26 nucleotides) under Papaver somniferum (opium poppy). Its description in RNAcentral is "partial 28S ribosomal RNA". The record is from RNAcentral. Lineage: Eukaryota; Viridiplantae; Streptophyta; Magnoliopsida; Ranunculales; Papaveraceae.